GACGAACGCUGGCGGCGUGCUUAACACAUGCAAGUCGAACGGUAAGGCCCUUCGGGGUACACGAGUGGCGAACGGGUGAGUAACACGUGGGUGAUCUGCCCUGCACUUCGGGAUAAGCCUGGGAAACUGGGUCUAAUACCGGAUAGGACUCCUGCCUGCAUGGGUGGGGGUGGAAAGCUUUUGCGGUGUGGGAUGGGCCCGCGGCCUAUCAGCUGGUUGGUGGGGUGAUGGCCUACCAAGGCGACGACGGGUAGCCGGCCUGAGAGGGUGACCGGGCCGAGUGGGACUGGGAGACGGCCCAGACUCCUAAGGGAGGCAGGAGUGGGGAAUAUUGCACAAUGGGCGCAAGCCUGAUGCAGCGACGCCGCGUGAGGGAUGACGGCCGUCGGGUUGUAAACCUCUUUCAGCACAGACGAAGCGCAAGUGACGGUAUGUGCAGAAGAAGGACCGGCCAACUACGUGCCAGCCGCCGCGGUAA
This 478-nucleotide ribosomal RNA is filed under the name uncultured bacterium. Its description in RNAcentral is "partial 16S ribosomal RNA". It matches the Rfam family "Bacterial small subunit ribosomal RNA", at positions 28 to 523 of the family's 1533-position model. The record is from RNAcentral.